GAUGAAGAACGCAGCGAAAUGCGAUAAUUAAUGUGAAUUGCAGAAUUCCGUGAAUCAUCGAGUCUUUGAACGCACAUUGCGCCCCCUGGUAUUCCGGGGGGCAUGCCUGUCCGAGCGUCAUUGCUGCCCUCAAGCACGGCUUGUGUGUUGGGCCCCGCCCCCCGGCUCCCGGGGGGCGGGCCCGAAAGGCAGCGGCGGCACCGCGUCCGGUCCUCGAGCGUAUGGGGCUUCGUCACCCGCUCCGUAGGCCCGGCCGGCGCCCGCCGGCGACCCCCCUCAAUCUUUUCAGGUUGACCUCGGAUCAGGUAGGGAUACCCGCUGAACUUAAGCAUAUCAAUAAGCGGAGGA
RNAcentral lists this unclassified non-coding RNA (348 nucleotides) under soil metagenome. Its description in RNAcentral is "partial contains 5.8S ribosomal RNA, internal transcribed spacer 2, and large subunit ribosomal RNA". The stretch from base 1 to 120 matches the Rfam family "5.8S ribosomal RNA", at positions 35 to 154 of the family's 154-position model. The record is from RNAcentral.